AUACAGUUGACGAGUCCCAAAUAGGAUGAAAUGUGCAUCCUGGAU
Non-coding RNA from Schistosoma mansoni, 45 nucleotides. Lineage: Eukaryota; Metazoa; Platyhelminthes; Trematoda; Strigeidida; Schistosomatidae. The record is from Rfam.